AGAACCCUACCCAGAAAGGUCUUUUGUCUUUCUUGCAUUGUUUGUGUAUAGCAGCAUGUAAAAAGUACUAGACUGUAAAUUAAGUGUAACGUUCAGA
Long non-coding RNA from Pipistrellus kuhlii (Kuhl's pipistrelle), 97 nucleotides. RefSeq lists it as uncharacterized. The record is from RefSeq and is a predicted model, not a curated record. The transcript is spliced from 3 exons. NCBI's taxonomy places the organism in Eukaryota, Metazoa, Chordata, Mammalia, Chiroptera, Vespertilionidae.